CAUGUCUAAAGCUCCAGCCAGGAUGCUCGCGGUGAGCUUGGUUCUCCUGGAGAGUGGUUUCCCCAGCUGUGUGUGUCUGGAGAUGGAGGGACAGCUCCGAAAUCUG
Molecule: long non-coding RNA, 106 nt
Filed under: Ficedula albicollis (Collared flycatcher)
Lineage: Eukaryota; Metazoa; Chordata; Aves; Passeriformes; Muscicapidae
Description: lncRNA (ENSFALG00000026865.1)
Source: RNAcentral